GCGACCGCGGGCGGCCGGACACGGCGGGGUCGCGGCCGGCCGGGCCGGUUCGGGCCGGUGCGGUCGCGGUC
RNAcentral lists this transfer RNA (71 nucleotides) under Kitasatospora setae KM-6054. RNAcentral's name for it is "tRNA-Ala(CGC)". The record is from RNAcentral. Lineage: Bacteria; Bacillati; Actinomycetota; Actinomycetes; Kitasatosporales; Streptomycetaceae.